UACGUAGGGGGCAAGCGUUGUCCGGAAUCAUUGGGCGUAAAGCGCGUGUAGGCGGCUCGGUAAGUCUGCUGUGAAAGUCCAGGGCUCAACCCUGGGAUGCCGGUGGAUACUGUCGAGCUCGAGUCCGGAAGAGGCGAGUGGAAUUCCUGGUGUAGCGGUGAAAUGCGCAGAUAUCAGGAGGAACACCAACGGCGAAGGCAGCUCGCUGGGACGGUACUGACGCUGAGACGCGAAAGCGUGGGGAGCGAACAGG
RNAcentral lists this ribosomal RNA (253 nucleotides) under uncultured bacterium. Its description in RNAcentral is "partial 16S ribosomal RNA". It matches the Rfam family "Bacterial small subunit ribosomal RNA", at positions 524 to 776 of the family's 1533-position model. The record is from RNAcentral.